GACGAACGCUGGCGGCGUGCCUAAUACAUGCAAGUCGAGCGAAUUUACGAGAGCUUGCUCUCGUAAAUUAGCGGCGGACGGGUGAGUAACACGUGGGCAACCUGCCUAUAAGACUGGGAUAACUUCGGGAAACCGGAGCUAAUACCGGAUAAUUCACAUCUACUCAUGUAGAUGUGCUGAAAGACGGUUUCGGCUGUCACUUAUAGAUGGGCCCGCGGCGCAUUAGCUAGUUGGUGAGGUAACGGCUCACCAAGGCCACGAUGCGUAGCCGACCUGAGAGGGUGAUCGGACGCACUGGGACUGAGACACGGCACAGACUCCUACGGGAGGCAGCAGUAGGGAAUCUUCCGCAAUGGACGAAAGUCUGACGGAGCAACGCCGCGUGAGUGAUGAAGGUUUUCGGAUCGUAAAACUCUGUUGUUAGGGAAGAACAAGUACCAGAGUAACUGCUGGUACCUUGACGGUACCUAACCAGAAAGCCACGGCUAACUACGUGCCAGCCGCCGCCGUAA
RNAcentral lists this ribosomal RNA (512 nucleotides) under uncultured bacterium. Its description in RNAcentral is "partial 16S ribosomal RNA". It matches the Rfam family "Bacterial small subunit ribosomal RNA", at positions 28 to 523 of the family's 1533-position model. The record is from RNAcentral.